CUUGGAGGUGAGCGGGGAGCUGCUGGAGGAGGAGGCGCAGCGGAAGCUGGAGCCCACGGCCCUCAGCUGCUUCCUCAACACAGCAGCGUGUAAUCUGAAGAUGCAGCUGUGGCAGGACGCUGUGGACAGCUGCAAUGAGGCUCUGGAGCUGGACCAAGCGAACACUAAGGCACUUUUCCGGAGGGCCCAGGCCUGGCAGGGGUUAAAGGAAAACAGCAAAGCCAUGAUUGAACUGAAGAAAGCUCAGGGAAUAGCUCCAGAAGACAAAGGUGGGUAAUCUGUCUCUAACACUUUUGCUGUUUGCUCAGCCCUUACUCAUGCUGAGAGUGC
Epinephelus lanceolatus (giant grouper) is the source of this 330-nucleotide non-coding RNA. The record is from RefSeq and is a predicted model, not a curated record. Lineage: Eukaryota; Metazoa; Chordata; Actinopteri; Perciformes; Serranidae.